AGUGGGGAAUUUUGCCCAUGGGGGCAAGCCUGAUGCAGCCAUGCCGGGGGUGUGAAGAAGCCCUUCGGGUUGUAAAGCACUUUCAGUCGUGAGGAAGAUGGUGUCGUUAAUAGCGGCGUUGUUUGACGUUAGCGACAGAAGAAGCACCGGCUAACUCCGUGCCAGCAGCCGCGGUAAUACGGAGGGUGCGAGCGUUAAUCGGAAUUACUGGGCGUAAAGCGCAUGCAGGUGGUUUGUUAAGUCAGAUGUGAAAGCCCGGGGCUCAACCUCGGAAUAGCAUUUGAAACUGGCAGACUAGAGUACUGUAGAGGGGGGUAGAAUUUCAGGUGUAGCGGUGAAAUGCGUAGAGAUCUGAAGGAAUACCGGUGGCGAAGGCGGCCCCCUGGACAGAUACUGACACUCAGAUGCGAAAGCGUGGGGAGCAAACAGGAUUAGAUACCCUGGUAGUCCACGCCGUAAACGAUGUCUACUUGGAGGUUGUGGCCUUGAGCCGUGGCUUUCGGAGCUAACGCGUUAAGUAGACCGCCUGGGGAGUACGGUCGCAAGAUUAAAACUCAAAUGAAUUGACGGGGGCCCGCACAAGCGGUGGAGCAUGUGGUUUAAUUCGAUGCAACGCGAAGAACCUUACCUACUCUUGACAUCCAGAGAACUUUCCAGAGAUGGAUUGGUGCCUUCGGGAACUCUGAGACAGGUGCUGCAUGGCUGUCGUCAGCUCGUGUUGUGAAAUGUUGGGUUAAGUCCCGCAACGAGCGCAACCCUUAUCCUUGUUUGCCAGCGAGUAAUGUCGGGAACUCCAGGGAGACUGCCGGUGAUAAACCGGAGGAAGGUGGGGACGACGUCAAGUCAUCAUGGCCCUUACGAGUAGGGCUACACACGUGCUACAAUGGCGCAUACAGAGGGCGGCCAACUUGCGAAAGUGAGCGAAUCCCAAAAAGUGCGUCGUAGUCCGGAUUGGAGUCUGCAACUCGACUCCAUGAAGUCGGAAUCGCUAGUAAUCGUGGAUCAGAAUGCCACGGUGAAUACGUUCCCGGGCCUUGUACACACCGCCCGUCACACCAUGGGAGUGGGCUGCAAAAGAAGUAGGUAGUUUA
Molecule: ribosomal RNA, 1091 nt
Filed under: Vibrio alginolyticus
Lineage: Bacteria; Pseudomonadati; Pseudomonadota; Gammaproteobacteria; Vibrionales; Vibrionaceae
Description: bacterial SSU rRNA
Rfam family: Bacterial small subunit ribosomal RNA
Source: RNAcentral